AUUAUUUAUGAUUUUGAAUUAUUUGAGUUCUUUACAUCUUAUAACUAUUAAUCCCUUAUUAGACAUGAUUGACAAACAUUUUAUCUGUAGGUCAUCUUUGCUUUUUCCUCUGGACAAUAGGGUGGCUGUAGCUAGUACUAUUAUGACUGUAAAAGAAUAUUUUGAUUGCUUCUUCAUAAGGAAUAGAUAAAUACUCAAGGUGUCAUAUGUUCAAAUUACAUGAUUUGAGUAUUACACUAUAUAUGUAUGCAAGCAUUAUGUUGUAAUGUAUAUAUCUGCACAGCUGUGUCAACUAAAAAUAAAAUAAAACUGAAAGAUAAUCAAUAAAACCAGCUAAAAUGAUAGGACAACACUUUUGUAAGUUUCCAAAGAGAUCACUUAAAUGCUGAUUAUGUUUGUUUUUGUUGUUGUGUUGUUUUGUUUUUCCCUUCAAACUCUGCCCAUUUGGUUUCUUUGGCUGGAAAGGCACCAGUCUGCUGAGUGGUGGGCGAGAGUGUGUGCUUGUAGAGUGGCGAGAGGGAUCAGAGAAGAACAAGGAGUUUCUCCCUCGCUUGGGAUCUACUAUUGAGCACAUCUCCGUCUCACCUGCAGGAGAUUUGUUCUGUACUUCUCACUCUGAUAACAAGAUAACAGUUAUUCACCGAAAUCUCAACGCAUCUGCGGUUAUUCAAGGCCUAGUGAAAGAUAGGAGUAUAUCUACUGGCUUGAUGGUCGACCCAAGAACCAAAGCUCUAGUUUUGAAUGGAAAGCCUGGUCACCUGCAAUUUUAUUCUCUCCAGGGUGAUAAGCAGUUAUAUAAUGUAAGAUUUUGAUCCAUAAGUUUUAAAAUGAGUGAAA
Molecule: non-coding RNA, 837 nt
Organism: Cricetulus griseus (Chinese hamster)
Lineage: Eukaryota; Metazoa; Chordata; Mammalia; Rodentia; Cricetidae
Source: RefSeq, a predicted model, not a curated record